This is a microRNA precursor of Monodelphis domestica (gray short-tailed opossum), 61 nucleotides long. Ensembl annotates it as mdo-mir-7398p. The record is from Ensembl. Lineage: Eukaryota; Metazoa; Chordata; Mammalia; Didelphimorphia; Didelphidae.
UGUGUGGAGGCAAGGAACUAUGCCGUUUUGUCUCUCUCGGUAAAUCCUUGCGUCUCACAGU